Long non-coding RNA from Chinchilla lanigera (long-tailed chinchilla), 184 nucleotides. RefSeq lists it as uncharacterized. The record is from RefSeq and is a predicted model, not a curated record. The transcript has 2 exons. Lineage: Eukaryota; Metazoa; Chordata; Mammalia; Rodentia; Chinchillidae.
UCCUCUGUUAUGACCAAGCUCCAGCAGCUCUAUGCAGUGGCCAGCUGGUGAAAAACUGAGGCCUCUUGCCAAGAGCCAGCAAUGAAGUGAAGCCUUCUGCCAAACAGCCUAGAAGGGAACCACCUUGGAACUUACCUGUGGCAUGUGGAGCCUGCUCAACUUGAAUAAAUGGCUGUUUAUGGAU